Molecule: ribosomal RNA, 896 nt
Filed under: Cellulosimicrobium sp.
Lineage: Bacteria; Bacillati; Actinomycetota; Actinomycetes; Micrococcales; Promicromonosporaceae
Description: bacterial SSU rRNA
Rfam family: Bacterial small subunit ribosomal RNA
Source: RNAcentral
UUGCUGGGCGGAUUAGUGGCGAACGGGUGAGUAACACGUGAGUAACCUGCCCUUGACUUCGGGAUAACUCCGGGAAACCGGGGCUAAUACCGGAUAUGAGCCGCCUUCGCAUGGGGGUGGUUGGAAAGUUUUUCGGUCAGGGAUGGGCUCGCGGCCUAUCAGCUUGUUGGUGGGGUGAUGGCCUACCAAGGCGACGACGGGUAGCCGGCCUGAGAGGGCGACCGGCCACACUGGGACUGAGACACGGCCCAGACUCCUACGGGAGGCAGCAGUGGGGAAUAUUGCACAAUGGGCGAAAGCCUGAUGCAGCGACGCCGCGUGAGGGAUGAAGGCCUUCGGGUUGUAAACCUCUUUCAGCAGGGAAGAAGCGCAAGUGACGGUACCUGCAGAAGAAGCGCCGGCUAACUACGUGCCAGCAGCCGCGGUAAUACGUAGGGCGCAAGCGUUGUCCGGAAUUAUUGGGCGUAAAGAGCUCGUAGGCGGUUUGUCGCGUCUGGUGUGAAAACUCGAGGCUCAACCUCGAGCUUGCAUCGGGUACGGGCAGACUAGAGUGCGGUAGGGGAGACUGGAAUUCCUGGUGUAGCGGUGGAAUGCGCAGAUAUCAGGAGGAACACCGAUGGCGAAGGCAGGUCUCUGGGCCGCAACUGACGCUGAGGAGCGAAAGCAUGGGGAGCGAACAGGAUUAGAUACCCUGGUAGUCCAUGCCGUAAACGUUGGGCACUAGGUGUGGGGCUCAUUCCACGAGUUCCGUGCCGCAGCAAACGCAUUAAGUGCCCCGCCUGGGGAGUACGGCCGCAAGGCUAAAACUCAAAGGAAUUGACGGGGGCCCGCACAAGCGGCGGAACAUGCGGAUUAAUUCGAUGCAACCCGAAAAACCUUACCAAGGCUUGACAUGC